RNAcentral lists this unclassified non-coding RNA (201 nucleotides) under Hevea brasiliensis (rubber tree). The record is from RNAcentral. Lineage: Eukaryota; Viridiplantae; Streptophyta; Magnoliopsida; Malpighiales; Euphorbiaceae.
UAAAACAGUUCCAAUGCUGUCACGUGAUUGACCACGCCAGCCAAACCUUGGCUCUUUGACAUCUGGUUUAAGCUGGACAUGCUGUCCCCUGUCUAAAGGAAUCAGCUUCAAAACUUCACUUGCCAAUACACGAGCUUCUCCAGUACAGAAUGACACAAUGAGAUUGUCCUUGUCCACAACAUUUUGCACAAAGCCUACACU